GAAGCUCGCUAGGCCGUCGCUGGUGCAAUCUGGGAAACCAGGCACUGGAGGAACGUCCGGACUGCGUAGGACAGCGUAAGAGGUAACACCUCUCCACCGUGAGGUGAGGAUUAGAGCAACAGAGACGAGCCGCUUUAGUGCGGGUGAAACGGGCAAUCUCUACGCGCAGCAAUACCAAGUAGGCCAACGUUGAGGCGGUCCGCUGAGUUGGCGGGUAGGUAGCACCGAGCCGAGUGGGCAACCCUCGGCCCAGAUUAAUGACGGUCACGCCGUGGGCAACCACGGUGCACAGAAUCCGGCGUAUCGGCGAGCUUCACAC
Molecule: RNase P RNA, 319 nt
Filed under: Limnohabitans sp. TS-CS-82
Lineage: Bacteria; Pseudomonadati; Pseudomonadota; Betaproteobacteria; Burkholderiales; Comamonadaceae
Description: RNase P RNA component class A
Rfam family: Bacterial RNase P class A
About the family: Ribonuclease P (RNase P) is a ubiquitous endoribonuclease, found in archaea, bacteria and eukarya as well as chloroplasts and mitochondria. Its best characterised activity is the generation of mature 5'-ends of tRNAs by cleaving the 5'-leader elements of precursor-tRNAs. Cellular RNase Ps are ribonucleoproteins.
Source: RNAcentral